UUUUAAGCCAUUAGGGUUUAUUCUUGACUCUUGAUUCAUGAUAAGGUACGGUUUAGGAAAUUACAUUUAAAUUACUUUGAAACUCUGAAGCGAUAGAGUAGCCUAAUAGGCUAUAUGUAAAAUUAUUUUAUGCACUUAGGUGAAAAUUGUUUUUCAUUUCUUGAUUAAUAAUUCCUUUUGUAAAACUUACUUGGCAAUAAAUAUCUUUCUGAUUCUGAUUAGGUUUUAAAAUAGAUAUUUAAUUCAUGGUAUGAACAAUUUAGCUGAAUAAAUUGAUGAAGUUAGACUUUUCACUAAUGCCUGGCUACAUCAGUGAACAGUGAAAGACAUCUGCAACAUGGCCAAAAUCUUGGGUAGGUCUAUACUUUAUAAUUUUUAUUAAUUUGCAACCAUGGUAAUAGCCUAUCAUAAACAGGAAAAUCUCUUGUUUUGACCUGAUCAGAAGGAUAAACUAAAAUCUAAAAGCUCCUCUGGUUUCACAGCUGCACUGGCAGAUUUAUGAAAUAUUUAGGAAAUAUUUCGUCUUUCUGCCAUUCCAGGAAAUGUCAUUUUAUGUCUUUCAUUUUUUUCCAACCUCGAUUUUUUUUUUUUUUUUUUUUUUACUUUUUACAUGUAUAAGGGAUUAAUUUGCAAUUGCGACCUGUACAAAUGUUUAAGACAGUAAAACACUUAAAAAAAUGUAAACACAUUAUAAAUGUUAGAAAGUAUAGGUUUUCACCAUUGCUGUGUUCAGGAUUUUUUUUGGGCGGAGUUAAAACGUGGCUCGAUGACGCACUGGAGCCACUGAGCUCCUGGCCCCUCCCCAAACAACAUAACUAGAGCACACAUUCGCGUCAGUUCGCCGUUCAAUCGCGAGUUUCUGUGGACUACCAUCGUUUAAGCGUUGAUUUUUUCUUUUCUUCUAAGAUACGUAUGUUUAUACGAGUAAUGUUGGCAAGAGGCGAUGAGAUAUUUGGUGCGCUUCCAAACAGGUUCUAGCGUUGAAACGACGGACGAUGACAAGAAGAGAAAGAGAAAGAGAAUCUCAAAUUCCAAGUACAGACCCCAGGCCUCUUCUGAUGAAGAGGAGUCUAGUCUUCCAGAUGCACCAGCAGUGCUGUCGUUUGGACAACCUCUUUUGAGCUUUGAAAACAUUGUUCCUGAUUUCCAGAGACUCCAGAAUGAAAAACAAGCCGUGAUGGAGGAGAACCAAGCCCUUAGGGAGGAGAACCAAGCUCUGAGGGAGGAGAACCAAGCUCUGAGGGAGGAGAACCAAGCUCUGAGGGAAAGCACUGCACGAGCAGCUUCGGAUGACAGCGGCUCACUUCAAGAGCAGGUGAAGCAAGUUGGGACAAUGUUGAAGACGUUUGCUCGCACUGGGCAAUCAGGUGCAGAUCAGACCUUAAUGCUGCGACGUCUUGGAGAGUUUGGCGAUGUUGUGCGUAGCAUGGACAACAAAAUGGACACUAUGCUGCAACAUUUCAGUGCCAAUGUGUCUGUUGGAGAGUUAUCCCUGCCAGGGGAUCUGUUACUCCCCCUAGACACCCAGGAAGAUUUGGCGUUGCUUGACAACAGUUUGAGGCAGGAUAAAGAGCUCCAGGAACGAUUUCUUCGGUUUUUGGCAAUCAAAUGUGGGAGGGACCUAAAGACAACCGUCUGGCGGAUGCUUCAAAGUAUCUUCUCUAAUCACCUUCCAUCAAUACAACCUGGACUGGAGUUGGGGAUAAAGCAUGUUUUAGAGACAUGUUCCUGA
RNAcentral lists this long non-coding RNA (1732 nucleotides) under Carassius auratus (goldfish). Its description in RNAcentral is "lncRNA (ENSCARG00000040050.1)". Lineage: Eukaryota; Metazoa; Chordata; Actinopteri; Cypriniformes; Cyprinidae. The record is from RNAcentral.